AUGCCUCUAUUAUUAAUCAUGUGCUUGCCCAAUCUGUUCCAGAACCAGAUCACACGACAUUUCUUGAUGCAGAAGAUGAUGAAGACGAUGAGACCUAUAUUGAUGAUGGAGUUGUUGCCGCAGCUACAACCGUGGGGGGAGACGAGGAUGAAAAUUUCUUUGUUUAAGUAGUUUUUAUGAAUAUUUGUUGCAUUUUGAGGACAAAGAUGAAAAUUGCUUUGAUUAAGAAAUAUGGAGCAGCUGCCCAAUCUGCCUCCAAUACUCAG
RNAcentral lists this long non-coding RNA (266 nucleotides) under Sorghum bicolor (sorghum). RNAcentral describes it as "long non-coding RNA (SBIC_LNC015860)". Lineage: Eukaryota; Viridiplantae; Streptophyta; Magnoliopsida; Poales; Poaceae. The record is from RNAcentral.